GGGGGUGUAGCUCAGUGGUAGAGCAUUCGGCUGCAGAUCGGGAGGUCCCCGGCUCAAACCCGGGUGCCCCCA
Molecule: transfer RNA, 72 nt
Filed under: Trichonephila inaurata madagascariensis
Lineage: Eukaryota; Metazoa; Arthropoda; Arachnida; Araneae; Nephilidae
Rfam family: tRNA
About the family: Transfer RNA (tRNA) molecules are approximately 80 nucleotides in length. Their secondary structure includes four short double-helical elements and three loops (D, anti-codon, and T loops).
Source: Rfam by way of RNAcentral